This 76-nucleotide transfer RNA is filed under the name Saprospiraceae bacterium. Its description in RNAcentral is "tRNA-Met". It matches the Rfam family "tRNA". From Rfam's summary of the family: Transfer RNA (tRNA) molecules are approximately 80 nucleotides in length. Their secondary structure includes four short double-helical elements and three loops (D, anti-codon, and T loops). The record is from RNAcentral. Lineage: Bacteria; Pseudomonadati; Bacteroidota; Saprospiria; Saprospirales; Saprospiraceae.
CGCGGAGUGGAGCAGUUGGUAGCUCGUCGGGCUCAUAACCCGAAGGUCGCAGGUUCAAAUCCUGCCCCCGCCACCA